AUUGAACGCUGGCGGCAGGCUUAACACAUGCAAGUCGAGCGGGGGAAGGUAGCUUGCUACCGGACCUAGCGGCGGACGGGUGAGUAAUGCUAGGAAUCUGCCUAUUAGUGGGGGACAACAUCUCGAAAGGGAUGCUAAUACCGCAUACGUCCUACGGGAGAAAGCAGGGGAUCUUCGGACCUUGCGCUAAUAGAUGAGCCUAAGUCGGAUUAGCUAGUUGGUGGGGUAAAGGCCUACCAAGGCGACGAUCUGUAGCGGGUCUGAGAGGAUGAUCCGCCACACUGGGACGGAGACACGGCCCAGACUCCUACGGGAGGCAGCAGUGGGGAAUAUUGGACAAUUGGGGGAACCCUGAUCCAGCCAUGCCGCGUGUGUGAAGAAGGCCUUAUGGUUGUAAAGCACUUUAAGCGAGGAGGAGGCUACUCUAGUUAAUACCUAGGGAUAGUGGACGUUACUCGCAGAAUAAGCACCGGCUAACUCUGUGCCAGCAGCCGCAGUAA
RNAcentral lists this ribosomal RNA (500 nucleotides) under uncultured bacterium. RNAcentral's name for it is "partial 16S ribosomal RNA". It matches the Rfam family "Bacterial small subunit ribosomal RNA", at positions 30 to 523 of the family's 1533-position model. The record is from RNAcentral.